GUGCUUCUCAGCCUGGAUAUACAAACAUGUUUAGCCCUUGGUUUUACUAUUAGUUGACAUUCAAGCAGGUAAAAAAUGUAUAUAUUUUCAGAAACACUCACCAACACCCCUGAGAAGAGAAAUCCAUACAAACAAAGCCUAACAACUUUAUGAAGCUUCAAAGGGGAAGGACUCAUUCACUCGGAACAGUGGUGAAAGUGAUCUGGAUGAUGUCAUAAGAUUCACUCUUUAAGGGGACGAUAUGUUUGGAUGUACACCUCCAAAAACUAACAAUCACACUAAAAACAUCUCUUUUGAAGUGACUGAUUCUAGCACUCCUAGGAGAAAACCCAUUGUAUGUGACAGAGGGAAGAUGCAGGUCUCGCCUCCCGCUGUGAAGUUGCAGUACACUUUGAAGGAGUCCCCGGAGCAUCCCUGGUUGGGAUCGAUGUAGUAUUCACCUGAGAGAAAAAACCCAUCAGACAUCAGUGUCUGGAACGACCACAGAUCACAUGACAACAAUUUCAGAAACUGUUCAAUCUGACAAUGAACGCAAGAUGCCAGCAACAGAGCAAAGACUCACAGGCAAUCCAGGAGGACCAGGUGGACCAAUCGGACCAGAAGCACCACUGAUACCCUACAGUUUAAAGAGCAGAAGGAUUACCCUUGGGUCCAUCAUCUCCAGGGGGUCCUUUGGGACCUGCAGGUCCAGCAGCACCAGGGGGACCAGCUUCACCUUUCUCUCCUCUCUCACCUUUUGGGCCCUGCAUCAUAUAUAACAAAGAUG
Molecule: long non-coding RNA, 766 nt
Organism: Onychostoma macrolepis
Lineage: Eukaryota; Metazoa; Chordata; Actinopteri; Cypriniformes; Cyprinidae
Exons: 5
Source: RefSeq, a predicted model, not a curated record